GAAGGCGCUGCGGUGCCCUCGGCCGAGCUGGGAAAGAUGGCGGAGCUGGAAGACGUUACGCUGGACGGGAAGCCGCUUCACUUGCUCCGGGUGGCGGACUUGAAGGCCGCCUUGGAGCAACGAGGGCUGACCAAAAGCGGUCAGAAGAACGCGCUCGUCAAACGACUCAAAGGGGCAUUGAUGUUGGAGAAUUUACAGAAACACUCCACUCCUCAUUCUGGGCUUCAGCCAAACUCACAGAUUGGAGAAGAGAUGAGUCAGAACAGCUUCAUCAAACAAUACCUGGCAAAACAGCAGGAACUUUUGCGACAGAGGCUGGAGAGAGAAGCUCGUGAGGCAGCUGAAGCAGAAGAAGCUUCCACAGAAUCAGAGGAUGAGGCAUCAUUUAUCGAUCCUGCUGCCUCCAGACCUCCUGAUUUACAUGCUAUUCCAGAAAUCCCAGGGAAAAGCAACCAGAGGCAGCAAUGGCAAGAUCCAGAUAUUAUGGCCGCACAUGAAGAGGAUAAUCCUAUAGAGAUGAAGUCAGAAGACUUUGACAUUGGAUCUUGUCAAUCUGAACAGGUGGAAGGCUGUAAAACCUCAGGCACAAAAAGGAGGUCAUUUGUCAGAGUCUCCCCCUCUCCUCCUCCUGAAACUAAACAAAGAAAUUUGUCUCAAAGGGAAGCCCGCCGUAGAUCAAGCUCAAGAUCGCAGACCACAUCUGCUACUUCAUCUCAGCAAAGCCCAGUUGUACAUCAGCCAGUAGAACAUGGGGAUCAUUUACUUACUUCAGCUGAUAACCAAAUCUCAAAGCAGUCGACAGAUUCUGUUUGUGGUGAUGAAUCAGAUUUGCAUACACCAUGUGAAGUAACUAGAGAGAGACCUAGGAGGUCUCGUAGUUCAAAGGAGAGCUCCUUAUGUUCAGAUCUGGGUACUUCUCCAGUUUCAGAUAAACCAACUGAAGCAGGGCUUCCAGCAUUUGAGCAAGCAAGAGAAUCCCGGCCUAGGCGGUCUUCUACCCGCCAAACCAAGGAUUCUUCUCUUCUUUUAGCAACAUCUGAUGCUGUUAUUGCAACUGAAGAUCCAUCUCCUACACCGAGAGCUGUCGCUUCAUUAUCUGUGAGAGUCAUAAGUGAUAGGGAAUCCACAGGACACAGCAGUGGGAGUGCUGUUUUGGUAGCUCUUGAGAAAGUGACCAGUGGCUCAAAGGAAGGAAAAAAAGUCGGUGAAUUUGAAGACUCUUCUGUACAGAAGCAGCAAUUCAAAACAUCAAGGUCUCCAAAAAAGGCAAAAUCAUCAACAGGCGAAAAGAUUGACACAGAUUUGAAGUUAUGUGAAUUACAACAUAUAGCAAAAGAAUCUCAAGAAGUCAUUGAUUUGGAACCUCAAGAGAAAUCCGCAUUUGUACCUAAAGAAAGAUCAAAGAGAUCCAAACAGUUGACAGAAGAAAAUACACCACCUGCUUUGGCAUUGCCGACCAUUGAUGCUGUUCCUGAAACAUUUUCUCUUCCUGAUACUCCAAAACAAAGCCCUCCAUUAUUAGAGAAAGAUGGUGAAGGAACAUGCUCUCCAAAGGAAGAUCAAUGUUUGUGUGUUCUUCAAAAUUUGGAUAAGGAAGGAGAAAAAAACAGAACAGUGGAAGUAGAGGUAGUUCAGGAACAACCAGGACCACUAAUUAAAGAAACGGAACAGGAGGAAAAUGUAAACCGUUUAGAAAGGAGGAAGAUGGACAGCAAGACUAAAACUGAGUUUUGUGAAAAGAUUACUCUAGCACCGAAGGAACCUAGCAUGGAAUCAAUAACAAUCCUUCCAUCCAAAGAAAUAGCUGAUAUAAUACUUGAUGAGCCUAAGAUUAUAUCAGAAAACACCAUAAAGAUGCAGGAGGCAGAAAGAUUAUUAACAUCUAAAGAACUGGAAGUGCAUUGUAAAGAAAAAGGAGAUUCUAGUGCAUUUGGAAAGGAAGAAAGUAGACAGGAGAUAGAUGAGCAAAAUGAGGCAACUUCCCAGAAUGUUAAUGUAGAGCAGGGGCAGGCUAAAGUUGAGAUAUGCCCUCAUAUAUUGUCUGAUGAAAAAUAUAGUGAAACCCCAGAAAAAGUCCGGGGAAGUUUAGAUUCAUUAGAGCAAUCACUAAAUUUUUAUUUGUCAUCUGAAACAUCUGGUAGCACACCAGCUGAAAAUUUGCAAUUAGAAAUUGAUAAAGAAUCUACAGAUAAUUUGACCAGUUCAGAAAAAGCUGUCGAAACAUCAAAGCUCAAAGAGGAAGUUAAACCGCUUACGUCCAGUGAGAAUAUAAUUUCUAAAUGUCCAGAAAAUGUUUCUGAAGAGUACACGAAAGUAACAGAUAGUGCUGAAUCCCUUUCUCAACCCGAACAGCAGCCUUUGUUAAGGUGCAUUAUUGAGACUGGAUCUUUUGUAGAUUCAGAAGUGUCAUUAGCAGAAAUUUCGGAGGGUUCACCAUUAACUGAGCAUCCUGAGGCAUGUGAGAAGAGAGAGGUGGAGUCUUUAGCUGAUGAUGAAGUAAAUAUUUCAUUUCAAAGGUCAGAUAUAGAAGAAAACCAUAAUUCAGGAUCAGCAGAAGAAACUGCUGAAGAUCUGUCUGUACUCCAGGAUAUCACAGGGGUGGAAAAUUAUACUACUAAUGAAAGUAGAGUAAUAUAUCCAGCUGAUGAGCCUGAAGAUGAUUCAAAUAACAAACUCGACACUUUAACCCAUACCACGCCUGAGAAUGACAGCAUUGUGAUGUCAGGCAGUGAUAUGGCUUUAACACAAGAAGAGCAACUGGAACGCUGUACAGACAGUGACAUAACAAAUAAAACCAGUCUUUUGCAACUAAAGAGAGAGGUUGCAAUCCCAAGUGAAAAAACACUUGGUGAAAUUCCUCAUGCAUUGAGUCAAGAAAAGGCCCUACUACAUGAAGACUCUACUGAUGAUUUUUCUCCUGAAUGUGACAAAACAGCAGAAACAAAAACUAUAAUUUCCUCUGAGACAAGUGAACAGUUGGAUACACAUACUACUCCAGUUUUAACUGUUUCACAGAAGAGUGAAGCCGAUGUUCUGAAACCACACAGAAAGUACAGACGAUUUAGAGAUACCCCCCCAUCUCCAAAAACAGAACCUCAGUAUCAGACAAAACCUGUAUAUCCCUUCCCUUCUAGUAUAGAAGAGGUCAACAAAAGUUAUCACAGUCAGUCUGUCGUAGAAUGUGUGUCAUCAGAGUCUCAAACAAUUGCAGCAGACAGUUCUGUAAACCAAGCAGACAAAGAAAGUGUGAAGCAAGGUCAGCUAGAAAAAGAUGUGUUAGAGUCCUCCGAGGCUGUAUUAGUGAGUGAGGUGGAGGUGUCUGUUAGAAAUGAUGAUGCUCAUAAUCAGUUUGCUCAAGCACAGGAACACACUGAAAAUACCCAUCAGCCAGAGCAUGUAGGACAGUGUAUUGAUUCCAUAUUGAUAGAAGACAAACAAGAACAGAGCUCAGUAGUAAAUUUGAAUGAAUCGAAAGCUUUAGAUGAUCUAUCAUCUGUUGUAAAAGACAGAAGUAAUGAAGAUACUCCCGUUUUGACAGAAAUAUGUGAAGAACCCAGCCCUUGUAGUACUGAAGUAUUACAUGAAAUACCAGCACCAGGCAAUGUGCUAGAAACUGAACCAUCACAGAUAAUAAAGCAUGAGGAAGUACAUGACAAUAACAUUUUUCCACUGAAUAAGACACAUGAGAUAGAACUAGUUAUUUCAGAACAGGCAAAAGAUAGCCAUGGUGAGUCAUCUGAUGUGGCCACAUCAUUUCAUGCAGAAGUUAAUAUUAACAGUCAAUUGGUUAAACCUUCAGAAGAACAGAUACAGCCAAGUACUGUAAAAGUAGGGGAGGAGGCAAUAUGCAAAUCAAUAGCUACAGUGCUGCCUCCUUCUCCUCCAUCAGAAGAGGUGGAAAACAUCAUUCUGGAAAAAAGAGAAAGCCGUCGCAGAGAAUCUUCAUCUUCCUCUUCUACUAACUCCUCUUCGUCCUCGUCCUCCUCCUCUUCCUCCUCAUCUUCUUCUUCCCGGUCAUCCUCAUCAUCCUCGCGUUCUAGGUCCAGAUCACCUCGUAGAAAGUCACGUUCUCCUUCUAGAGAAAGCAGGUCUGUGAGCCCCCUUCAAGAUUCUGUAUCAAGGGAUAGUGGGACAUUUUGUCAGCCUGAGUGCUCUUCAGACUCUGGACGCCCUGAAGACUCCCCUACUUCAGAAAACCACAAGCGGAGAGUCCCAUGGGAAGAGGCAGGAGAAGCUGCAUCCAGCAAGAAAGUGUGCGUUAUAGUGGAAGAACAAAGCAAAAAAGACCAGCCAGAUGAGGAAGAGAUAAAGGAUAACCAAAAAGAUGAGAAAGCUGAGGGGGAAAUUCAGGACGGAUCAAGUGAGGUGAAACAAGACUCCUCUGAGAUGAUGGAGUCUGAUAAUCGGACGGAUGCCGAGGUCAGUGAAGCUCAAUCUGAGGGCAAUUCAGACCCAGGAGAGGACAGCAGCAGCUGCAGCAAGGCUGGAGAUGAACGAGGGAACGAGAGUCGUUCCGAGGAGGUACAAGUUCCUCCUUUCUCACUACUGGUAUCCUACUAUAACCAAGCACGCUGCUUCUAUACCUGUCCUGCUAAUCUUGUGCUAGCCACAGCACCAAGUUAAAACAAGCCCCAACACCAGCAUACCAAACUGGCGGAACCCUGGGAAUUGCAUGCUGAGAGCCCCGGCAAGAGCAGGUGGAAGCUAAAGUAACAGCCAGCCCUGUGUUGUCCUGGAUGCAGUAAUGACAUGGGAUUGACUGAAAUGCAGCAUCCCUUCCUUUUAAGAGAACAUAAGCCUAAGAGACAAUACUUUGAUGCACAGUGCAAUAAACUUAAAGCUGACCUAUGUACCUGUGAAACAAUUGACAUGAUUUAGCAAAUGGAAUUAUUUUCAGACUUCUGAACAUCAGGUACCAGGUGUAUGUUUUUGAUUAACUUUCUCCUUUUUCUGAUUUUUGUUACUGUGGUUAAUAUGCUCUACAAAUUCCAGAUUCUCAAAAAUGCUUAUCUAGAUGGAAUUUGUACUGGACGCUUUAAGUAAAUUGAACAUUUGUUUGAAAUUCAUAUGCAUGGAUUUUCAUGCAUCCUGUUAAUCAGAAUCUGCUUGGUCUUGGCAUCUUAAAAAUGUUCCAUAUGGAUUCUUACCUUCUCCCAGGUUGGUUUGUGGAUUGAUACUGAAUUUCAUACCAAUUUGGACUACUCUGACCUAAUAUUUGUAAGCAAGCAAGAAAGACUUCUCAAAUGGAUUUUUAUGUUGAAGAAUAAGGGAACAGUGGUUGCUCAUUUAAAAAAAGAAGAGUUUUCCAUUCCUGCUGAAUUAUAUGAAAGAUGCGAUUUAAAUGAAACCUAUAAUAUUGGACUUGAUACAGUUUGAGUUUUGCUCUUCAUCUUUUUUAUGAGAAGUGAUUUUAUUCUUACCAGUCAUUUCUAAAUGGUAAGGUUCUAUUUUUCAACUUUCAGGAUUCACAAAGAAGUGCAUUUUGGGGGUAAAAACCAUUUGGCAACAAAAUAAACACUUCAGUGGAUUACAAAAAGUGUCCUUUUGUUUUUUGGGCUGAGAGAAAAGACUUGGUACAAUUCAUAAAAGCCCAAAAGACUUGCCUUAUUUUUGUUCUUCACAAUUAUCAAGCCAUCUAUGAACUAUGGACUUCGCCAUCUGUCUCCAAGUUUUAAGCUGUGUUCUUAUUACAGACUUUUUGAAAUGGACUGUCCUUAUUCUCUCUCUUGAACUUCAGCAGCAUGGAAAGACUUGUAUAAAUUUUGUCUUGAAGCAAAAACUAAGAGCACAGACCAUGCUUAAGAACUUCUUUUGGCUUUUAGGAUACAAUUUUCUUAUGAAGAAAGUAUUUAGCCUAAAUAUACUGGAGGUUGCUUUGUCAAUAACAAAAUGCUUUUUUCACAAAUGAACUCUGCUUUUUUCUGUACCACCUUGAUUUUAAUUUUGGACUACACAGCACAUAUUGUGGUUUCUGAAGCACUACUGGCAAUGAAUAGUGGACAACAGGCCGUCUGGCUGGCCUUCUCACAUGCGGCACCUGCCAGCCUCGCUCUCAUAAUUCAGAUUUUCCACCCACCUUCCACUCUGAUUGGACCAUUGUUGCCUAGGCAUCAGUACCCAAAACUUUCACCUCACGGAGGAUUUCUGUUGUAUCUGCCAGUAAGACAUUGCCAACUGCUACAUCAGCA
Molecule: RNA transcript, 6188 nt
Organism: Polypterus senegalus (gray bichir)
Lineage: Eukaryota; Metazoa; Chordata; Cladistia; Polypteriformes; Polypteridae
Gene name: apoptotic chromatin condensation inducer in the nucleus-like
Exons: 12
Source: RefSeq, a predicted model, not a curated record